AACGAACGCUGGCGGCGUGCUUAACACAUGCAAGUCGAACGGGGCUCAUCGCUUCGGUGGUGGGUCUAGUGGCGAACGGGUGAGUAACACGUGGGCAACCUGCCCCCGGCUCUGGGAUAACUCCAAGAAAUUGGGGCUAAUACCGGAUGUGACCGCUGGCCGCAUGGUCUGGUGGUGGAAAGGGUUUCCGGCUGGGGAUGGGCCCACGGCCUAUCAGCUUGUUGGUGGGGUAGUGGCCUACCAAGGCGACGACGGGUAGCCGGCCUGAGAGGGUGACCGGCCACACUGGGACUGAGACACGGCCCAGACUCCUACGGGAGGCAGCAGUGGGGAAUAUUGCGCAAUGGGCGGAAGCCUGACGCAGCGACGCCGCGUGGGGGAUGACGGCCUUCGGGUUGUAAACCUCUUUCAGCAGGGACGAAGCCGCGAGGUGACGGUACCUGCAGAAGAAGCACCGGCCAACUACGUGCCAGCCGCCGCAGUAA
This 485-nucleotide ribosomal RNA is filed under the name uncultured bacterium. Its description in RNAcentral is "partial 16S ribosomal RNA". It matches the Rfam family "Bacterial small subunit ribosomal RNA", at positions 28 to 523 of the family's 1533-position model. The record is from RNAcentral.